RNAcentral lists this ribosomal RNA (544 nucleotides) under uncultured bacterium. RNAcentral's name for it is "partial 16S ribosomal RNA". It matches the Rfam family "Bacterial small subunit ribosomal RNA", at positions 355 to 889 of the family's 1533-position model. The record is from RNAcentral.
UGGGGAAUUUUGGACAAUGGGCGAAAGCCUGAUCCAGCAAUGCCGCGUGUGUGAAGAAGGCCUUCGGGUUGUAAAGCACUUUUGUCCGGAAAGAAAUCCUUGGCUCUAAUACAGUCGGGGGAUGACGGUACCGGAAGAAUAAGCACCGGCUAACUACGUGCCAGCAGCCGCGGUAAUACGUAGGGUGCAAGCGUUAAUCGGAAUUACUGGGCGUAAAGCGUGCGCAGGCGGUUUGCUAAGACCGAUGUGAAAUCCCCGGGCUCAACCUGGGAACUGCAUUGGUGACUGGCAGGCUAGAGUAUGGCAGAGGGGGGUAGAAUUCCACGUGUAGCAGUGAAAUGCGUAGAGAUGUGGAGGAAUACCGAUGGCGAAGGCAGCCCCCUGGCAAGUACUGACGCUCAUGCACGAAAAGCGUGGGGAGCAAAACNGGAUUAAUACCCUGGUAGUCCACGCCCUAAAANGAUGUCAACUAGUUGUUGGGGGAUUCAUUUCCUUAGUAACGUAGCUAACGCGUGAAGUUGACCGCCUGGGGGAGUACGGUCGC